Non-coding RNA from Osmia lignaria (orchard mason bee), 2030 nucleotides. NCBI's taxonomy places the organism in Eukaryota, Metazoa, Arthropoda, Insecta, Hymenoptera, Megachilidae. The record is from RefSeq and is a predicted model, not a curated record.
ACCAGUGGUCGGCAAACCGUGGCUCGCGAGCCACAUGUGGCUCUUUGGCCCCUCGAGUGUGGCUCUUCUGCAAAUGACCACGUGCAGGCGCUAAUGGUGGUUAAUAUCGCGUAUACGCUAUGUCAGCUCUCACUUGGUGCUUCAAAUAUCGCGCCGCGCAGUAAAAUCUCUCUAGUUCUUCGUUUGUUUCCCUGCUGACAGUGUUCGUCGGUUUUGUCCUACACCUAUGUAUUUCUUAUUCGACGCCUAUGUUUUGUUUAUUCGAGUCAGUCACGCGACACACGUCGCGGCAUCUUUGAUGAGAGGUAGAGUUUGGUAGUUCAUAAUAAAGCACUGUAACUUUUUUAAUAUUAAUUCUUUUUACCUACGGAUUUUUUAAACAUAUUGGCCAAACUCUUCUGAUCAAAAUGAAACCAAACACGACAUAACUUGGAGCAUUUUUACUUUAUUUUAUGUACAACGGAACAUCCAGUGCGAAUUUUUUUUUUCGUCCAUAUAGUCCAAAUUUUGUCAUAUCUGGUCUCAUUUUAAUCAGAAAAAUUGUACCAAUAUGCAACACAAUUUGCAUCUAGAAAAUUCUGAAAAUAAGAAAGUUAAACUGUUGUUAAUUUAUUGUCUGCUACUGCUCUCGUGCUAUUCUUCUCUUUUACGACUUGUCGCCGGGGAUUAAAAGCAGCCGCGAAGCUCGAAAAAUCGUGUCUAUCCUGCCUACAUGUCCAUUUUCGUUUCUCAGCUUACGAACAACUAGAGAGAUUUUAUUGUACACUCGAUAGCGCCAGCUGGACACAUCGCGUUAGUUCACGCAAGGUUUUGUAGCGUUCCAUACAAUUGUGCUACCCAUUUGACAUGGCUACAAAGAGGAAGCAAAUAAAAAUGAAGGACAGGAACCGUGAAUUUCAAGUUGAAUGGAACGAGACUUUUGCGUUUAUUAAAAACUUAAAUGGCGUUCCGACCUGUCUUAUUUGUAAAAAAAAAUUGGCGCAUAAUAAGAAGUCAAAUUUGGAGAGACACUUUAUAACUAAACACGAGUCAUUUAUCACUAAAUAUCCUGUCGGUGAUGCAAGGAACAAAGCAAUUGAGAAACUUCUAAAAAGUCAAGAAAAAUCAAGUUCUGUAUUUAAGCAAUUGAGGAACUUCUAAAAAGUGAAGAAAAAUCAAGUUCUGUAUUUAAUGUAGACGUUACAUUUCAUCUAAAUCAGCUUAAUCGUAAACUACAGGGGAAAGGAAAUACAAUUUUUUCGAUGUUAGAAGAAGUUAUUUCAUUCGAAAACAAAUUAUCCCUUUUUGCUCAAGGUUUUGAAAGGGAAACUUUGAUUCAUUUUCCAAGCCUGCGGAAACAUCACCAAGAAAAUAAUUCUGAUAUUGAUAUUUGCUAUUUCAAAAUAACAAUCUUAAAUAUGAGGGAGGCUUUUCUGAGUAGGUUUCAGGAAUUCAGAAACAGCAAAGCGACGUUAGCCUUUGUUAAAAAUCCUCUUAAUGCUAUUGUAACAGAAUUAAACUUUUCUCCCUUUGAUGUUGACAUUGGCAACUUUGAAAUGCAAUUGCUGGAUUUAAAAAACAAAGAAUUAUGGAGCUCUAAAUUUGAACGUCUUUGUGCUGAUUUGGAAAUAUUAGAGAAAAACAAAUGUGAACUUAGUUCACAGCAGAAGUGGUCUGCUUUGAGAGACCGGGAGAAGGAAGAUAUGAUAAUUUUUAACACCUGGAACAGUAUUCCUGACUCAUUUGAUCAGUUGAAAAAACUAGCGUUUGAUGUUCUUUCUCUUUUCGGUUCUACAUAUUCAUGCGAACAAUCUUUCUCGAACAUGAACCUCAUCAAGAGUAAAUUAAGAAGUCGACUUACUGAUGAGAACCUGGAAUCGUGCCUAAAAUUAAAAACAACAACAUACAAACCUAACUUACCCAAACUUUCGAAGGAGAUGCAAGGCCAUUGUUCACAUUAAGUGUUGUCACUGUCAGUCAUUGUCAUAAUUUAAUUUUAUGGAUACCUUACUUACAAUUUAAUUUCUAUGAAUAAAUAAGAUCAUUAUUAA